RNAcentral lists this ribosomal RNA (495 nucleotides) under uncultured bacterium. RNAcentral's name for it is "partial 16S ribosomal RNA". It matches the Rfam family "Bacterial small subunit ribosomal RNA", at positions 28 to 505 of the family's 1533-position model. The record is from RNAcentral.
GACGAACGCUGGCGGCGUGCCUAAUACAUGCAAGUAGAACGCUGAAACUUGGUGCUUGCACCGAGCGGAUGAGUUGCGAACGGGUGAGUAACGCGUAGGUAACCUGCCUGGUAGCGGGGGAUAACUAUUGGAAACGAUAGCUAAUACCGCAUAAGAGUAGAUGUUGCAUGACAUUUGCUUAAAAGGUGCAAUUGCACCACUACCAGAUGGACCUGCGUUGUAUUAGCUAGUUGGUGGGGUAACGGCUCACCAAGGCGACGAUACAUAGCCGACCUGAGAGGGUGAUCGGCCACACUGGGACUGAGACACGGCCCAGACUCCUACGGGAGGCAGCAGUAGGGAAUCUUCGGCAAGGGACGGAAGUCUGACCGAGCAACGCCGCGUGAGUGAAGAAGGUUUUCGGAUCGUAAAGCUCUGUUGUAAGAGAAGAACGAGUGUGAGAGUGGAAAGUUCACACUGUGACGGUAUCUUACCAGAAAGGGACGGCGAACUACG